CCUACGGGUGGCAGCAGUGAGGAAUAUUGGUCAAUGGGCGAGAGCCUGAACCAGCCAAGUAGCGUGAAGGAUGACUGCCCUAUGGGUUGUAAACUUCUUUUAUAUGGGAAUAAAAUGUUCCACGUGUGGAGUUUUGUAUGUACCAUAUGAAUAAGGAUCGGCUAACUCCGUGCCAGCAGCCGCGGUAAUACGGAGGACCCGAGCGUUAUCCGGAUUUAUUGGGUGUAAAGGGAGCGUAGGUGGAUUGUUAAGUCAGUUGUGAAAGUUUGCGGCUCAACCGGAAAAUUGCAGUUGAAACUGGAAGUCUUGAGUACAGUAGAGGUGGGCGGAAUUCGUGGUGUAGCGGUGAAAUGCUUAGAUAUCACGAAGAACCCCGAUUGCGAAGGCAGUCCACUGGAGUGCAACUGACGCUGAGGCUCGAAAGUGCGGGUAUCAAACAGGAUUAGAUACCCUUGUAGUC
RNAcentral lists this ribosomal RNA (460 nucleotides) under uncultured bacterium. RNAcentral describes it as "partial 16S ribosomal RNA". It matches the Rfam family "Bacterial small subunit ribosomal RNA", at positions 338 to 795 of the family's 1533-position model. The record is from RNAcentral.